This 465-nucleotide ribosomal RNA is filed under the name uncultured Klebsiella sp. RNAcentral's name for it is "bacterial SSU rRNA". It matches the Rfam family "Bacterial small subunit ribosomal RNA", at positions 338 to 795 of the family's 1533-position model. The record is from RNAcentral. Lineage: Bacteria; Pseudomonadati; Pseudomonadota; Gammaproteobacteria; Enterobacterales; Enterobacteriaceae.
CCUACGGGUGGCAGCAGUGGGGAAUAUUGCACAAUGGGCGCAAGCCUGAUGCAGCCAUGCCGCGUGUGUGAAGAAGGCCUUCGGGUUGUAAAGCACUUUCAGCGGGGAGGAAGGCGGUGAGGUUAAUAACCUCAUCGAUUGACGUUACCCGCAGAAGAAGCACCGGCUAACUCCGUGCCAGCAGCCGCGGUAAUACGGAGGGUGCAAGCGUUAAUCGGAAUUACUGGGCGUAAAGCGCACGCAGGCGGUCUGUCAAGUCGGGUGUGAAAUCCCCGGGCUCAACCUGGGAACUGCAUUCGAAACUGGCAGGCUAGAGUCUUGUAGAGGGGGGUAGAAUUCCAGGUGUAGCGGUGAAAUGCGUAGAGAUCUGGAGGAAUACCGGUGGCGAAGGCGGCCCCCUGGACAAAGACUGACGCUCAGGUGCGAAAGCGUGGGGAGCAAACAGGAUUAGAUACCCUUGUAGUC